Mus pahari (shrew mouse) is the source of this 1328-nucleotide RNA transcript. It is a transcript of the gene named tubulin alpha-1B chain-like, with no coding region annotated. The record is from RefSeq and is a predicted model, not a curated record. The transcript has a single exon. NCBI's taxonomy places the organism in Eukaryota, Metazoa, Chordata, Mammalia, Rodentia, Muridae.
AUGUGUGAGUGCAUCUCCAUCCACAUUGGCCAGGCUGGCGUCCAGAUCGGCAAUGCCUGCUGGGAGCUCUACUGCAUGGAACGUGGCAUCCGGCCUGUUAGCCAGAUGCCAAGUGACAAGACCAUUGGGGAAGGAGAUGACUUCUUCAACACCUUCAGUGAGACAGAAGCUGGCAAACAUGUGCCCAGGGCAGUGUUCAUAGACCUGGAAUCCACAGUCAUCGAUGAAGUUCGCACUGGCACCUACCGCCAGCUCUUCCACCCUCAGCAGCUCAUCACAGGCAAGGAAGAUGCUGCCAAUAAUGAUGCCCGUGGCCACUACACCAUUGGCAAGGAGAUCAUUGACCUUGUCUUGGACAGGAUUCGCAAGCUGGCUGACCAGUGCACGGGUCUCCAGGGCUUCUUGGUUUUCCACAGCUUUGAUGGGGGAACUGGCUCUGACUUCACCUCCCUGCUGAUGGAGCGGCUCUCUAUUGGUUACAGAAAGAAGUCCAACCUGCAAUUGUCCAUUUACCUGCCCCCCCCCCCAGGUUUCCACUGCUGUGAUUGAGCCCUACAAUUCCAUCCUCACCACCCUGGAGCACUCUGAUUGUGCCUUCAUGGUAGACCAUCUAUGAUGUCUGUCGUAGAAGCCUUGACAUUGAGCGCCCAAACUACACUAAUCUUAACCACCUUAUUAGCCAGAUUGUGUCUUCCAUCACUGCUUCCCUCAGAUUUGAUGGGGCUGUGAAUGUUGAUCUGAGAGAAUUCCAGACCAACCUGGUACCCAACCCUCGAAUCUACUUCCCCUCUGGCCACCUAUGCCCCUGUCAUCUCUGCUGAGAAAGCCUACCAUGAGCAGCUUUCUGUAGCAGAGAUCACCAAUGCCUGCUUUGAGCCAGCCAACCAGAUGGUGAAAUGUGAUCCUCGCCAUGGUAAAUACAUGGCUUGCUGCCUGCUGAACCUUGGUGAUGUGGUUCCCAAAGAUGUCAGUGCUGCCAAGCGCAGCAUUCAGUUUGUGGACUGGUGCCCCACUGGCUUCAAGGUUGGCAUUAAUUACCAGCCUCCCACUGUGGUACCUGGAGGUGACCUGGCCAGGGUCCAGAGAGCUAUGUGCAUGCUGAGCAACAGCACAACCAUUGCUGAGGCCUGGGCUCGCCUAGAUCACAAGUUUGAUCUGAUGUAUGCCAAGCGUGCCUUUGUGCACUGGUAUGUGGGUGAGGGCAUGGAGGAGGGGGAGUUCUCUGAGGCCCGUGAGGACAUGGCUGCCCUAGAGAAGGAUUAUGAGGAGGUUGGUGUGGAUUCUGUGGAAGGUGAGGGGGAGGAAGAAGGAGAGGAAUACUAAAUCCA